GUCGAGCGGUAGAGAGAAGCUUGCUUCUCUUGAGAGCGGCGGACGGGUGAGUAAUGCCUAGGAAUCUGCCUGGUAGUGGGGGAUAACGUUCGGAAACGGACGCUAAUACCGCAUACGUCCUACGGGAGAAAGCAGGGGACCUUCGGGCCUUGCGCUAUCAGAUGAGCCUAGGUCGGAUUAGCUAGUUGGUGGGGUAAUGGCUCACCAAGGCGACGAUCCGUAACUGGUCUGAGAGGAUGAUCAGUCACACUGGAACUGAGACACGGUCCAGACUCCUACGGGAGGCAGCAGUGGGGAAUAUUGGACAAUGGGCGAAAGCCUGAUCCAGCCAUGCCGCGUGUGUGAAGAAGGUCUUCGGAUUGUAAAGCACUUUAAGUUGGGAGGAAGGGCAGUUGCCUAAUACGUAACUGUUUUGACGUUACCGACAGAAUAAGCACCGGCUAACUCUGUGCCAGCAGCCGCGGUAAUACAGAGGGUGCAAGCGUUAAUCGGAAUUACUGGGCGUAAAGCGCGCGUAGGUGGUUUGUUAAGUUGGAUGUGAAAUCCCCGGGCUCAACCUGGGAACUGCAUUCAAAACUGACUGACUAGAGUAUGGUAGAGGGUGGUGGAAUUUCCUGUGUAGCGGUGAAAUGCGUAGAUAUAGGAAGGAACACCAGUGGCGAAGGCGACCACCUGGACUAAUACUGACACUGAGGUGCGAAAGCGU
This 706-nucleotide ribosomal RNA is filed under the name Pseudomonas lurida. RNAcentral describes it as "bacterial SSU rRNA". It matches the Rfam family "Bacterial small subunit ribosomal RNA", at positions 61 to 762 of the family's 1533-position model. Lineage: Bacteria; Pseudomonadati; Pseudomonadota; Gammaproteobacteria; Pseudomonadales; Pseudomonadaceae. The record is from RNAcentral.